AUUGAACGCUGGCGGCAGGCCUAACACAUGCAAGUCGAGCGGAGCGGCGGAGGGGUGAGGAAUGCAUAGGAAUCUGGCUGGUAGCGGGGGAGAACGUCCGGAAACGGGCGCUAAUACCGAAUACUAUCAGAAGAGCCUAGGUCGGAUUAGCUAGUUGGUGGGGGAAAGGCCUAGCAAGGCGACGAUCCCUAGCUGGUCUGAGAGGAUGACCAGCCACCCUGGCACUGAGACACGGUCCAGACUCCUACGGGAGGCAGCAGUGGGGAAUAUUGCACAAUUGGCGCAAGCCUGAUGCAGCCAUGCCGCGUGUAUGAAGAAGGCCUUCGGGUUGUAAAGUACUUUCAGCGGGGAGGCGUUACCCGCAGAAGAAGCACCGGCUAACUCCGUGCCAGCAGCCGCGGUAAUUC
RNAcentral lists this ribosomal RNA (407 nucleotides) under uncultured bacterium. Its description in RNAcentral is "partial 16S ribosomal RNA". It matches the Rfam family "Bacterial small subunit ribosomal RNA", at positions 29 to 526 of the family's 1533-position model. The record is from RNAcentral.